RNAcentral lists this ribosomal RNA (273 nucleotides) under uncultured bacterium. RNAcentral describes it as "partial 16S ribosomal RNA". It matches the Rfam family "Bacterial small subunit ribosomal RNA", at positions 524 to 796 of the family's 1533-position model. The record is from RNAcentral.
UACGUAGGGUGCGAGCGUUGUCCGGAAUUAUUGGGCGUAAAGAGCUCGUAGGCGGUUUGUCACGUCUGCUGUGAAAUCCCGAGGCUCAACCUCGGGCCUGCAGUGGGUACGGGCAGACUGGAGUGCGGUAGGGGAGAUUGGAAUUCCUGGUGUAGCGGUGGAAUGCGCAGAUAUCAGGAGGAACACCGAUGGCGAAGGCAGAUCUCUGGGCCGUAACUGACGCUGAGGAGCGAAAGCGUGGGGAGCGAACAGGAUUAGAAACCCCCGUAGUCC